Lolium rigidum is the source of this 627-nucleotide long non-coding RNA. RefSeq lists it as uncharacterized. The transcript has 5 exons. NCBI's taxonomy places the organism in Eukaryota, Viridiplantae, Streptophyta, Magnoliopsida, Poales, Poaceae. The record is from RefSeq and is a predicted model, not a curated record.
AUCUCCUGCAGUUGCUGCUGAGGCUGCUCCCUCACCCAAUCCCCUCCCGUGCUCCCCUCGACCCACCAAGGCUGUCCUCAACGAGCACGAAUCUUCCCACAAGGAUCCUCUCAUGGUGUAAAGCAGGUCCCCUCAACCAUGAAUCCAUGGGUCAGUCCAAGGUCGGGAGAGUCGGUGCUCAUCACCCAGAUUCCUUUGCUUGUUAUAUAGUAUGAGCCACCAAGCAGGACCAGAUCUUUUAAAACUGAAUAGUCAUAACUCUGGAUUGAUGAUGUGGCUAGCGCUGGAUAUUUUGAUUAGAUAAGGUACAUUUGGUGUAGGUUGAUCUCAAACUUUACGGAUGGUUUCUCCCUCUCUAUGAUAUGUUUAUCUGGGAAUAUAUAUACAUAUAUCUGUCGUGAUUCACCAUGCAGAUUCCCCAGCUCAAAGACUUUUGCAGCAGAGGUAGCAUAGGUAUCUGCAUAAUCCCAGAGAAAGUUAUAUAUUUCUUCUUCCUUGGUGCCGGCAACUUGUCUAUUUUUAUUAAAUGUGCAUGCGAUGGUGAGAAGGGCCUAACGCCGCAGACAUGUGAGUUCUCAUCAAAAUAUGUAGUACCUAUCAUAAUUUUGUGAUUUUGCGUCAUGCUCA